AUGCUUAUCUGGCAGAGACACCAUAAUCCUGAAAGUGGGUCUCCCAGAGCAAGGGUUGUCCUUUGCACUUUGGAAUUGUUGAUCUCUGUGAUUUCCUCAAGUGUGGGAAACCACAUUGUAGUAACUUGUGGUAGUUGGGGGGCAGCAUGUGCGUUCUGCUUCCGU
Small nuclear RNA from Capra hircus (goat), 165 nucleotides. Its record names the gene U1. It matches the Rfam family "U1 spliceosomal RNA". Rfam says of the family: U1 is a small nuclear RNA (snRNA) component of the spliceosome (involved in pre-mRNA splicing). Its 5' end forms complementary base pairs with the 5' splice junction, thus defining the 5' donor site of an intron. There are significant differences in sequence and secondary structure between metazoan and yeast U1 snRNAs, the latter being much longer (568 nucleotides as compared to 164 nucleotides in human). The record is from Ensembl. Lineage: Eukaryota; Metazoa; Chordata; Mammalia; Artiodactyla; Bovidae.